UGAUCCGGUGAAGUGUUCG
This 19-nucleotide non-coding RNA is filed under the name Arabidopsis thaliana (thale cress). Lineage: Eukaryota; Viridiplantae; Streptophyta; Magnoliopsida; Brassicales; Brassicaceae. The record is from RNAcentral.